RNAcentral lists this ribosomal RNA (576 nucleotides) under uncultured bacterium. RNAcentral describes it as "partial 16S ribosomal RNA". It matches the Rfam family "Bacterial small subunit ribosomal RNA", at positions 355 to 923 of the family's 1533-position model. The record is from RNAcentral.
UGGGGAAUUUUGGACAAUGGGCGAAAGCCUGAUCCAGCAAUGCCGCGUGUGUGAAGAAGGCCUUCGGGUUGUAAAGCACUUUUGUCCGGAAAGAAAUCCUUGGCUCUAAUACAGUCGGGGGAUGACGGUACCGGAAGAAUAAGCACCGGCUAACUACGUGCCAGCAGCCGCGGUAAUACGUAGGGUGCAAGCGUUAAUCGGAAUUACUGGGCGUAAAGCGUGCGCAGGCGGUUUGCUAAGACCGAUGUGAAAUCCCCGGGCUCAACCUGGGAACUGCAUUGGUGACUGGCAGGCUAGAGUAUGGCAGAGGGGGGUAGAAUUCCACGUGUAGCAGUGAAAUGCGUAGAGAUGUGGAGGAAUACCGAUGGCGAAGGCAGCCCCCUGGGCCAAUACUGACGCUCAUGCACGAAAGCGUGGGGAGCAAACAGGAUUAGAUACCCUGGUAGUCCACGCCCUAAAACGAUGUCAACUAGUUGUUGGGGAUUCAUUUCCUUAGUAACGUAGCUAACGCGUGAAGUUGACCGCCUGGGGAGUACGGUCGCAAGAUUAAAACUUAAAGGAAUUGACGGGGUCAUA